Long non-coding RNA from Sardina pilchardus (European sardine), 398 nucleotides. RefSeq lists it as uncharacterized. The transcript is spliced from 3 exons. Lineage: Eukaryota; Metazoa; Chordata; Actinopteri; Clupeiformes; Clupeidae. The record is from RefSeq and is a predicted model, not a curated record.
GCUGGCCUCCUGGCGUUGUAGGUCUUCCACCUUUCCCAGGAGGAGGGACUUCCUGGUUUGGUUGUUGGAGUUCGGUUGUGAGUGAGAACCAUUACGGCGGCAGGUAAGCGAUUGCUGGUACUCUCGCAUGGUCUGUCGCUCUAGCGCUGAGCUGUGACUUCCCAUUUGUUUGUUUGUUAGCAGCCCUGUGCUUUAACCCGGUGUGGAUUGCUAAACGCUCGGAUUCGGGGGUUGAGAACGUUAUCGGCUCAGCCUGUCAGCUGUAGCGAGCAGCAGUAGCAGCAUCGGCCUUAUCUCGCCACCGGUAGUGGGAGACGGAAUCACCAGCCAUUCGAUUGGCAGAAGCAUCGACGGUGUUCGUGCUGGCCUUGGGCCUUUCCACAACCUAUGAGUCUGCU